Long non-coding RNA from Anthonomus grandis grandis, 960 nucleotides. RefSeq lists it as uncharacterized. The transcript is spliced from 5 exons. The record is from RefSeq and is a predicted model, not a curated record. NCBI's taxonomy places the organism in Eukaryota, Metazoa, Arthropoda, Insecta, Coleoptera, Curculionidae.
UUUAAAUUAUUUAGUUAGUUCCCUAUUUAAUGGAACAACAAAUUCGUGCAUGUUGUUAGGGAUGUAAGUUAGAGUAUAAGUAAGACCAGUGGCAACUUGUCACAUUCAAACAUUUUAAGUUACGACAUGUUGUAAUGUUUGCCUCUCUGAUGUUACUUUACCUGGAACCAAAUAUUGAACAGCUGCGAUAUUUUGUGAUUUCUCCAAUGCAUUUGACUGCAUGUUACUAUUUUUACUAUUGUAUGCUUCACACUUACCUUUCUGACGUACGACGCUUGCGGAUGAUGCUUAACGGGCAUGAAAAACAUUCUAAGUCGAUCAAAGAGCUGAAUGCCAUCAGUGGACGCCACUCCCAUAUAGAGAAAGAUUCCAAACAGUACCGCCAUAGGCACCAGCUGGAGAAGUCUAGACAUAAAUACUGAUAGGCCUGAAAUCAAAAUAAAUUUUAAGAUUUGCUUUCCAUCGGUACUCUAAUUGUGGAUCAAUAUCAAGAUCAAGAGUAGUCAAGCCCAUCGAAACUUUCUGGCCCAAUGCUACUAUUGGAAUCGAAAUCGUGAACACUGUAGGCCCCGCUCUCUUCGUCAUCGGACUCAUAAGUCUCUGAAUUCUCAGAUUCUAAUGUUAAUAAUAAAUCAUGGACCUGAUCACCCAGAGGAGGAGCUGUCUGUGUAAACGUGGAAGGAUCCAAGGAUUAAGGAUUUAUAUAGCAGCAGCAGCAAUGAGAACUCAGAAUGAAAUGUUAACAUAUAUUUUUCGAAGAGCUUAUGAAUUUUUUUUGUAAAAAUUAAAGUUUUUGUUUAUUAAGGUUAGGUCCAUCCUUGCUUCCUCUUGCUUCAGGCUAACCAGGAACAUCUACAACAUGAAUGUUAUGUAACCAAAAAAAAAUUUACUUUUUUUUUCGAAAUGUGCUAUAAAUUUAGGGCGCGCGUGUUUUAUAUAAAUAUAUAUCUUUUAUUUAAA